This is a non-coding RNA of Potamilus streckersoni, 73 nucleotides long. Lineage: Eukaryota; Metazoa; Mollusca; Bivalvia; Unionida; Unionidae. The record is from the annotation of a GenBank genome assembly.
GCUCCGGUGGCCUAGUGGUUAGAGCGUACGUCUCAGAUGCGGGAGAUCGCGGGUUCGAACCCCGGCUGAGUCA